GACAACAGACAUCAUCCCGGACGAAUAC
RNAcentral lists this small RNA (28 nucleotides) under Bombyx mori (domestic silkworm). RNAcentral's name for it is "ovarian small RNA-15328". Lineage: Eukaryota; Metazoa; Arthropoda; Insecta; Lepidoptera; Bombycidae. The record is from RNAcentral.